CCUUUGUCUUCCCAGAGACCGCUGACACGGAUAUGUACCGUUUGAUUGUCACCAAGUUCAGGUUCUCCAUGGGGUGAUGACACCUGCACGGUCCUUCUUUCUAGCCCUCGCCCUCGUGACGUCAUUAUGGUGCACGGCGUCCUACAGACUAACUGGAGAUGUGGACAGGUCAAGGGCGUACAGGUCAAGGUCAGACACAUACAAGGACAGACAAGCAGACACACUAUCAACAUGGUCACGUGACGCAGACCUCCAGCUAACAAAUGACGUCACUAACGCCAGUAUUGUGACGUCACCACCAGUUACACCUGGACGUAAAAUUCGAGACACAAUUUUACAUCACGCCCGACACAGACGCCA
This is a long non-coding RNA of Physella acuta, 360 nucleotides long. RefSeq lists it as uncharacterized. The record is from RefSeq and is a predicted model, not a curated record. Lineage: Eukaryota; Metazoa; Mollusca; Gastropoda; Physidae.